This 423-nucleotide ribosomal RNA is filed under the name uncultured bacterium. RNAcentral's name for it is "bacterial SSU rRNA". It matches the Rfam family "Bacterial small subunit ribosomal RNA", at positions 555 to 981 of the family's 1533-position model. The record is from RNAcentral.
UGGGUUUAAAGGGAGCGUAGGCUGGAGAUUAAGUGUGUUGUGAAACGUAGACGCUCAACGUCUGAAUUGCAGCGCAUACUGGUUUCCUUGAGUACGCACAACGUUGGCGGAAUUCGUCGUGUAGCGGUGAAAUGCUUAGAUAUGACGAAGAACUCCGAUUGCGAAGGCAGCUGACGGGAGCGCAACUGACGCUUAAGCUCGAAGGUGCGGGUAUCAAACAGGAUUAGAUACCCUGGUAGUCCGCACAGUAAACGAUGGAUGCCCGCUGUUGGUACCUGGUAUCAGCGGCUAAGCGAAAGCAUUAAGCAUCCCACCUGGGGAGUACGCCGGCAACGGUGAAACUCAAAGGAAUUGACGGGGGCCCGCACAAGCGGAGGAACAUGUGGUUUAAUUCGAUGAUACGCGAGGAACCUUACCCGGGCU